RNAcentral lists this ribosomal RNA (478 nucleotides) under uncultured bacterium. RNAcentral's name for it is "partial 16S ribosomal RNA". It matches the Rfam family "Bacterial small subunit ribosomal RNA", at positions 28 to 506 of the family's 1533-position model. The record is from RNAcentral.
GAUGAACGCUGGCGGCGUGCUUAACACAUGCAAGUCGAGCGAGAAGUUUUGAAAAGAUUCUUCGGAUGAAAUUGAAAAUGGAAAGCGGCGGACGGGUGAGUAACGCGUAGGCAACCUGCCCCAUACAAAGGGAUAGCAUUUGGAAACGAAUAUUAAUACCUUAUGAAACUUAACUAGUGCAUGCUAGGUAGGUCAAAGAUUUAUCGGUAUGGGAUGGGCCUGCGUCUGAUUAGCUAGUUGGGGAGGUAACGGCCCACCAAGGCGACGAUCAGUAGCCGGCAGGGGGGGGGGACCGGGCGGAUUGGGAGUGGGGCCCGGACCAAACCUCCGGGGGGAGGGGGAGUGGGGAGUAUUGCGCACUGGGGGAAACCCUAAGGCAGCCGCGGCGCUUAGAAAAAGUGGCCCUUGGGGACGGAAAUUCCUGUUCUAAGUGCAGAAAACUACCGGAACCGAGGGAGAAACCCCGGGUAAACUCCUU